ACACAUGCAGUCGAACGGAGUUGUGUUGAAAGCUUGCUGGAAAUGCAACUUAGUGGCGGACGGGUGAGUAACACGUGAGUAACCUGCCUUUCAGAGUGGAAUAACGUUUGGAAACGAACGCUAAUACCGCAUAACAUGAGAGAACGGCAUCGUUCUUUCAUCAAAGAUUUUAUCGCUGAGAGAUGGGCUCGCGGCCGAUUAGGUAGUUGGUGAGAUAACAGCCCACCAAGCCGACGAUCGGUAGCCGGACUGAGAGGUUGAACGGCCACAUUGGGACUGAGACACGGCCCAGACUCCUACGGGAGGCAGCAGUGGGGGAUAUUGCACAAUGGAGGAAACUCUGAUGCAGCGACGCCGCGUGAGGGAAGACGGUCUUCGGAUUGUAAACCUCUGUCUUUAGGGACGAAAAAAUGACGGUACCUAAGGAGGAAGCCACGGCUAACUACGUGCCAGCAGCCGCGGUAAUACGUAGGUGGCAAGCGUUGUCCGGAAUUACUGGGUGUAAAGGGAGCGUAGGCGGGAGACAAGUUGAAUGUUUAAACUAUCGGCUCAACUGAUAGUCGCGUUCAAAACUAUCACUCUUGAGUGCAGUAGAGGUAGGCGGAAUUCCUAGUGUAGCGGUGAAAUGCGUAGAUAUUAGGAGGAACACUAGUGGCGAAGGCGGCCUGCUGGGCUGUAACUGACGCUGAGGCUCGAAAGCGUGGGUAGCAAACAGGAUUAGAUACCCUGGUAGUCCACGCCGUAAACGAUGAUUACUAGGUGUGGGGGGACUGACUCCUUCCGUGCCGGAGUUAACACAAUAAGUAAUCCACCUGGGGAGUACGACCGCAAGGUUGAAACUCAAAGGAAUUGACGGGGGCCCGCACAAGCAGUGGAGUAUGUGGUUUAAUUCGAAGCAACGCGAAGAACCUUACCAGGUCUUGACAUCGAGUGACGAACUUAGAGAUAAGUUUUUCCUUCGGGACACGAAGACAGGUG
RNAcentral lists this ribosomal RNA (978 nucleotides) under uncultured bacterium. RNAcentral describes it as "bacterial SSU rRNA". It matches the Rfam family "Bacterial small subunit ribosomal RNA", at positions 51 to 1040 of the family's 1533-position model. The record is from RNAcentral.